This 253-nucleotide ribosomal RNA is filed under the name uncultured bacterium. Its description in RNAcentral is "partial 16S ribosomal RNA". It matches the Rfam family "Bacterial small subunit ribosomal RNA", at positions 524 to 776 of the family's 1533-position model. The record is from RNAcentral.
UACGAAGGGGGCUAGCGUUGUUCGGAAUUACUGGGCGUAAAGCGUGCGCAGGCGGUUUCUCAAGUCAGGGGUGGAAGCCCGGAGCUCAACUCCGGAAUUGCCUUUGAAACUGUGAAGCUCGAGGGCGGGAGAGGUGAGUGGAAUUCCCAGUGUAGAGGUGAAAUUCGUAGAUAUUGGGAAGAACACCGGUGGCGAAGGCGGCUCACUGGCCCGUUUCUGACGCUCAUGCACGACAGCGUGGGGAGCAAACCGG